UUAAAUUGAAGAGUUUGAUCAUGGCUCAGAUUGAACGCUGGCGGCAGGCCUAACACAUGCAAGUCGAACGGUAACAGGAAACAGCUUGCUGUUUCGCUGACGAGUGGCGGACGGGUGAGUAAUGUCUGGGAAGCUGCCUGAUGGAGGGGGAUAACUACUGGAAACGGUAGCUAAUACCGCAUAACGUCGCAAGACCAAAGAGGGGGACCUUCGGGCCUCUUGCCAUCGGAUGUGCCCAGAUGGGAUUAGCUAGUAGGUGGGGUAACGGCUCACCUAGGCGACGAUCCCUAGCUGGUCUGAGAGGAUGACCAGCCACACUGGAACUGAGACACGGUCCAGACUCCUACGGGAGGCAGCAGUGGGGAAUAUUGCACAAUGGGCGCAAGCCUGAUGCAGCCAUGCCGCGUGUAUGAAGAAGGCCUUCGGGUUGUAAAGUACUUUCAGCGGGGAGGAAGGGAGUAAAGUUAAUACCUUUGCUCAUUGACGUUACCCGCAGAAGAAGCACCGGCUAACUCCGUGCCAGCAGCCGCGGUAAUACGGAGGGUGCAAGCGUUAAUCGGAAUUACUGGGCGUAAAGCGCACGCAGGCGGUUUGUUAAGUCAGAUGUGAAAUCCCCGGGCUCAACCUGGGAACUGCAUCUGAUACUGGCAAGCUUGAGUCUCGUAGAGGGGGGUAGAAUUCCAGGUGUAGCGGUGAAAUGCGUAGAGAUCUGGAGGAAUACCGGUGGCGAAGGCGGCCCCCUGGACGAAGACUGACGCUCAGGUGCGAAAGCGUGGGGAGCAAACAGGAUUAGAUACCCUGGUAGUCCACGCCGUAAACGAUGUCGACUUGGAGGUUGUGCCCUUGAGGCGUGGCUUCCGGAGCUAACGCGUUAAGUCGACCGCCUGGGGAGUACGGCCGCAAGGUUAAAACUCAAAUGAAUUGACGGGGGCCCGCACAAGCGGUGGAGCAUGUGGUUUAAUUCGAUGCAACGCGAAGAACCUUACCUGGUCUUGACAUCCACGGAAGUUUUCAGAGAUGAGAAUGUGCCUUCGGGAACCGUGAGACAGGUGCUGCAUGGCUGUCGUCAGCUCGUGUUGUGAAAUGUUGGGUUAAGUCCCGCAACGAGCGCAACCCUUAUCCUUUGUUGCCAGCGGUCCGGCCGGGAACUCAAAGGAGACUGCCAGUGAUAAACUGGAGGAAGGUGGGGAUGACGUCAAGUCAUCAUGGCCCUUACGACCAGGGCUACACACGUGCUACAAUGGCGCAUACAAAGAGAAGCGACCUCGCGAGAGCAAGCGGACCUCAUAAAGUGCGUCGUAGUCCGGAUUGGAGUCUGCAACUCGACUCCAUGAAGUCGGAAUCGCUAGUAAUCGUGGAUCAGAAUGCCACGGUGAAUACGUUCCCGGGCCUUGUACACACCGCCCGUCACACCAUGGGAGUGGGUUGCAAAAGAAGUAGGUAGCUUAACCUUCGGGAGGGCGCUUACCACUUUGUGAUUCAUGACUGGGGUGAAGUCGUAACAAGGUAACCGUAGGGGAACCUGCGGUUGGAUCACCUCCUUACCUUAAAGAA
RNAcentral lists this ribosomal RNA (1554 nucleotides) under Escherichia coli. RNAcentral describes it as "bacterial SSU rRNA". It matches the Rfam family "Bacterial small subunit ribosomal RNA". The record is from RNAcentral. Lineage: Bacteria; Pseudomonadati; Pseudomonadota; Gammaproteobacteria; Enterobacterales; Enterobacteriaceae.